CUUUUCCCUCUGGACGAGCGGGGGACGGGGGAGUAAUGUAUGGGGAUCUGCCCGAUAGGGGGGGAUAACUACUGGGAACGGGAGCUAAUACCGCGUAAUCUCUCAGGAGCAAAGGAGGGGAACUUCGGGCCUUGCGCUAUCUGAUGAACCCAUAUGGGAUUAGCUAGUAGGGGAGGGAAUGGCUCACCUAGGCGACGAUCCCUAUAUGGGCUGAGAGGAUGAUCAGCCACACUGUGACUGAGACACGGCCCACACUCCUACGGGAGGGAGCAGUCGGGAAUAUUGCACAAUGGGCGCAAGCCUGAGGCACACAUGCCGCGUGUAUGAAGAAAGCCCUAGGGUUGUAAAGGACUUUCACUCGGGAGAAGGGCGUUGAUGGUAAUAUCAUCAACGAUUGACGCUACCGACAGAAAAAACACCGGCUAACUCCGCGCCAGCAGCCGCGGGAAUACGGAGGGGGCGAGCGUUAUUCGGGAUUUCUGGGGGUGAAACGCACACACGCG
This 503-nucleotide ribosomal RNA is filed under the name Salmonella bongori. Its description in RNAcentral is "bacterial SSU rRNA". It matches the Rfam family "Bacterial small subunit ribosomal RNA", at positions 78 to 577 of the family's 1533-position model. The record is from RNAcentral. Lineage: Bacteria; Pseudomonadati; Pseudomonadota; Gammaproteobacteria; Enterobacterales; Enterobacteriaceae.